Molecule: ribosomal RNA, 317 nt
Filed under: Amonardia environmental sample
Lineage: Eukaryota; Metazoa; Arthropoda; Copepoda; Harpacticoida; Miraciidae
Description: SSU rRNA
Rfam family: Eukaryotic small subunit ribosomal RNA
Source: RNAcentral
UAGUGUAUGUUAAUGUUGCUGCGUUUAAAAAGCUCGUAGUUGGAUCUCGGGCGUCCUGUCCCGGUGCGCUCCUGGCGCAACUGGGAACGAUGGACGCCGUUUUUUGUGUCGGGAGUCGGGGUGCUCUUGACCGAGUGUCCCGAUGCUUCCCCGGCACAGGUUUACUUUGAAAAAAUUAGAGUGCUCAGCGCAGGCAAUCCUCGCUUGAAUAGUCGUGCAUGGAAUAAUGGAAUAGGACGUCGUUUCUAUUUUGUUGGUUUUCGGAAAUCGACGUAAUGAUUGAUAGGGACAGUCGGGGGCAUUAGUAUUCAGGCGAC